RNAcentral lists this ribosomal RNA (263 nucleotides) under Brevibacillus laterosporus. Its description in RNAcentral is "partial 16S ribosomal RNA". It matches the Rfam family "Bacterial small subunit ribosomal RNA", at positions 1280 to 1533 of the family's 1533-position model. Lineage: Bacteria; Bacillati; Bacillota; Bacilli; Caryophanales; Paenibacillaceae. The record is from RNAcentral.
AACCAAUCUCAGUUCGGAUUGUAGGCUGCAACUCGCCUACAUGAAGUCGGAAUCGCUAGUAAUCGCGGAUCAGCAUGCCGCGGUGAAUACGUUCCCGGGCCUUGUACACACCGCCCGUCACACCACGGGAGUUUGCAACACCCGAAGUCGGUGAGGUAACCGCAAGGAGCCAGCCGCCGAAGGUGGGGUAGAUAACUGGGGUGAAGUCGUAACAAGGUAUCCGUACCGGAAGGUGCGGAUGGAUCACCUCCUUUCUAUGGAGA